AUACCAUGAUAAGGACAUUUUCAUAAUAACUCAUUGAAUCUCUCCUAUGCCUCAUAUAGAGAUUUGUCAUCAAGUUGCUGGAAUGUGGUGAUCUCAUUCUAAAGUU
This is a non-coding RNA of Gossypium raimondii (Peruvian cotton), 106 nucleotides long. Lineage: Eukaryota; Viridiplantae; Streptophyta; Magnoliopsida; Malvales; Malvaceae. The record is from Rfam.